Molecule: ribosomal RNA, 105 nt
Filed under: uncultured bacterium
Lineage: Bacteria
Description: partial 16S ribosomal RNA
Rfam family: Bacterial small subunit ribosomal RNA
Source: RNAcentral
UGGGAGGACGCCCUUCGGGGUGUAAACCACUGUUGCCCGGGACGAACAUCCACUUUCGAGUGGACUGACGGUACCGGGUGAGGAAGCACCGGCUAAACUCCGUGC